GCGACCUCGUACACGCGUACCCUAUUUUUUUAUCAUAUUCUCUCUUUUUUUUGUCUGUAUGUAUUUGUUUUUUGUUCUUAUUUACGCACCCUGCUACGCAUUAUGAUGAAUCUAGUAACGAUUCGAACGAGAUAAACAAACAUCAUCCAUCAGACAAAAGUACAUACGGUGCUUUUUUGAGAGGGAGAGAAGUAGUGUUGGUAACUUUAGGCCUUAUUUAGUUCACUUAAAAACUCAAAAGUCUUUUUAGAUUCUUCGUCACAUCGAAUUGUACGGUACAUAUGCAUAGAAUAUUAAAUACAGAUAGAAAAAUAACUAAUUAUACAGUUUGUCUAUAAUUUGCGAGACGAAUCUUUUGAACCUAAUUAGUCUACAAUAAUUGCUAAAUAAAAAUAAAAAUAAAACAGUAUCCAAAAACUUUUCAUCUUCUCAAAGUAAUCUACAUUAGAGCAAGUAUUAUAGUGGGCUGUAAGCUGGCUAAAUGCUGAGGUGGAGGAGAGAAGGGAGG
RNAcentral lists this long non-coding RNA (508 nucleotides) under Sorghum bicolor (sorghum). RNAcentral's name for it is "long non-coding RNA (SBIC_LNC009820)". Lineage: Eukaryota; Viridiplantae; Streptophyta; Magnoliopsida; Poales; Poaceae. The record is from RNAcentral.